Molecule: long non-coding RNA, 1714 nt
Organism: Mauremys reevesii (Reeves's turtle)
Lineage: Eukaryota; Metazoa; Chordata; Testudines; Geoemydidae
Exons: 3
Source: RefSeq, a predicted model, not a curated record
GAACUCUGUUGAAGCGGGUGGGUGUUACUAGAGAAAGAAGACUCGGAGGGUCAGGAGCUCCCAGGAGGAGGGCCGUGGGACUGUUGAAGACCAGGAAGGACACAGAGAGAAUGUGACAUAUGUCUAAUGGCCCUCCUGAUGCAGACUGUCUUACACCCACCUUCGGAGCUGGCACGGCCAGACACGGCACCCAGUGCUUCAACUUUGGUGUGUAGUGCCCCUGGCACCAGGUUCCUCCCAGCACCGAUCUCCAUCAUGAGUGCCGAAAAAGAAAGAGAAGAAGACUGCACCGAGCAAGUCCAGCCAAGGGGCUCUGGGCACCUACAGUGGAACUGACCUGAGCAACACAUCUUGAAGAACAACAGUUACGAAAAGGGUUCUUAUGUUCCUUAUGAGCUGUGUUGGAGGGAUAAUUUUAAGACCACCAGGAGACUCUGGAGUAUCACUUUACACAAGAAGUAAGAAAAUUCAAUGCCGACUUCAGACGAAGAAAGAGAGAGAAACCUAACCUUAACUCUGGAUUCUGCCUAUUCUGCACCCAGUCCUGCUGAGUCUCUGGUGCCCUUCUGUGAGCCCUGCUGAGCUGAUGUAGCAGGUCUUUUCAUUCUGCUUCAGUGACAACAUCAGGAGCACUGCUGUUCCAGCUCCAGGCUAAUGAACGCAGCCAAAUUAUGAUCAUCUCCCUCAAAUCAGUAGUGGAGAAUUUUAAUUUCCUAGCCUGCCAGUAGUGUGUUGGGGUUUCAGCUUCAAACACCGUUAGAAAGAGAGACUAAUCCUCUAGUGUUCAGAAAACACAAACUAAACAGUGGAAUGCAAACCUAGUGAAGUAAUAAUAUAUGUCUGCUUUAAUGUAAUUUCAAAAUGCCUGUACUAAAAGGAGCUUACCCAUUGCACAAUGAGAUGGUGAUGAAAUCAUUUUUAGUGUGUUUCCUCUAAUUUACUUAGUUAACUUUCAAAAACAUGCAGCCGGUCUGUCUGAUGACCUAAUGUGGCAUGACUGGGAGCUUAGUUUAUUUUCAACAGCUUCUUAAUGCUAGAACUUGAACCUGUUACAUCUGGGUUUUCUAUAGAAUUUGGGCAACCCAUGGCUUGUCAUUUACGAGAGGUGAAAUUUUCAUCUAAAGCUGCAACUAGGUGGAGAACAUGCUGAAUAGGAUUUGCUUAUAUGACUGAACUAUAAAAAUAGCACAGUGUCUGGAAACAAUUUGAAAAGGCUUUGCCACAUGUACAGCACACCAGGAAAGACAUUCUGGUCUUGAAACCGCCUAAUAGUCCCAUCAGGAAAAUAUGGUUUAACUUUCUGGAGUUUGCAGACAUAUGAAUUAUUAUGGAUACUGGUGUCAUUGAGGAAUAACAACUUCACUCUCCAUUUCCACCUGUGUAAAUUAUAAAGGAAGUGAUACAGGGACAUGAAGAUUAGUUAAUUUUUGUAUGGCACUUUUAAGUUGAAAAGCUCUUUUGUACAUAUUUUGCUAAAUAUAUUUAAAGUGUAUGUAUUAAUGAUAUAUAUCCUCUCUCUCUCUCUCUCUCUCAUGGUUAGAUAUAAACUUUAAUAGGGCUUGCUGUUUAGAAAAUGCCAGCAUUUUAAGGGUUAGUUAUGUGGCACACACUUCUGGAUUAUUGCUUAAAAAACACAUGUACACACACAAGAAAGCCAAGGUGCAGUUACAUAAAUGGGCUUUUAUGUAAGCUGAAAAGUUUAAAAAUGAUUAUA